This 2002-nucleotide long non-coding RNA is filed under the name Lynx pardinus (Iberian lynx). Lineage: Eukaryota; Metazoa; Chordata; Mammalia; Carnivora; Felidae. The record is from RNAcentral.
CUCACACACACAUGCAUUCACACUCAUACCCCUUAGUUUCUCACUAAUUAACGAAUCUUCUUUGUAAAUACUUUGUAACCACUUUAUAAACCAAAACUGCAUUACUUGUAUUUGUAUUUUGUCCCAUUUUUUUUCCUUAAAGUUUAGUUUCUUUGCUUCGCAUAACUGGACACUAAGUAUUGCAAUCUGCACCAUUAUAUAAGCUUGUUUUUCCUCUUGGAAGUAGUAAAUUAUGAUGAGUUUGAUAAAAAAUAGAAAUCAGAAUAAGCAGCAUUCAGUACUUAGCCUUCUAGUCUAGCCUAUAUUUGUGCAGGUGUAUGAUUAUUUAUGCAGACCUAUAGUAAAUAGUGUGAAUUUUCUUUGCAAAACAAAUGGUACGGUCCAGAAGAACCACCUCUGGGCUUGUAUGUUUUGUAAACUACGUGGGUCUGUAUACACACUUGACUUGUGAGCCACGGCUUACACCUUUUAUAAUUUUUUUCACCUUAAAAAAACCCUGCAUGGCAAGAAACUCCAUUAUUAUUAUUAGUAUAAAAAGCCUUAUAAUUUAUAGCCAAAUCAAGCCCAGGAAAGAAUGCAGAUUCACUCAGUAAAAACUCGUUAACAGCCUGCUCUGUACCAGAAUGCACUUCCUUGUAGCUUUGGAAAGCCUCAUAGUAGGGCGGUUUCUGUUUGAGAAUGAACAGUCACAAGAGCAAGGCAGAUAUAGACAAGAAUGUAAUUUUCCAAAAUUUAAAUGAGGGGUGGUAGAGUAUACAUCCAAACAAAAUACAGGGGCAGGCACCUGGGUUCUCAUCUGACUUCAGUUUAGGUCAUGAUCUCAUGGUUCGUGAAUUCAAGUCCCACAUCAGGUGAACAUGAAUCCUGCUUUGGGUGAGCCCUCCUUCUCUCUCUCUUUCUCUCUCUGUCUCUCUCCCCCCACCCCCACCCUCCUCUCACUCUCUCUCUCUCUGCCCCUCGUGGGAUUCUCUCUCUCUCCCUUUCUCUCUCCCUCUCUCUACCCCUUGCUCACUUGCGCCCUCUCUCUCUCAAAACAAAACAAAAUACAGUCCUAUUAGAGUUACAAAAGUAAUAGAUAAAUUUGAAAAAAAUGUACCUUUGCAGUCUUCUCAAACUUAAAUUUUUUCUGGCAUUCCUCUUUUUGAAUCUGUAUGCUGAAUUGUUUAUUCUUUUUUUUAGUAGGAAGGAAGAAAACGUUCUCUUUAGGAAUUCAUUAGAAAUUAAAAUUAAUUUCAGCAUUUAGUAUUCUUUAGACUCUGGUGGAGGCUGAUUUGAAAGGGUGUGUUUAGUUGGAUCGGCCAUGGAGAAAGAGAACAAGCAGUUGUCCUGGCCAGUACAUCUUUGCUAUGAUGGGGAAAUGGCGUCGCUUUAACGUUCAUUUAUUUUUGAGAGAGACAGAGACAGAGUGCCAGCUGGGGAGGGGCAGAGAGAGAGGGAGACACAGAAUCUGAAGCAGGCUGUGGGCUCUGAGCUGCCAGUACAGGGCCCGAUGUGGGAUUUGAACUCAUGAACCUUGAGAUCAUGACCUGAGUUGAAGUCGGACGCUUAACUGACUGAGCCACCCAGGCGCUCCGAGAAAUGGCGUUGCUUUAAUUGCAACUCUUUCAUUGCCUUCCUUGCCAAGCCCAGUGGCUCCUGUUAUAACAUGUGGUGACUUUUCCCUUGGAGACUAACUCGCUCCAAGUUACCGUAAUAUUUAGGACCAGCUACAAAGACAUUUCUUCCCCUAAACCCAUGCCAAAUCUAAAUCAAACUAUCGUCUCCUCCCUGGCCACUCAAAUAGACCCGGCUCAUAUUUGAAAAGGACAAGAAAUGCACAGGCCUCUCAUGCCUGUUUGAACAGAUAGAUAAACAAGGCACAUCAUGCCUAGUGUUGCUUUGAGCUUGGUCAUUUCCUUCUAAAAUAGACUCUGAUACUAUGUUCACUUAAGACUUGGAACUUAGAUGUUCUAGAAAGAAGCAUAUUUUAAGUCUAGCUACAGCAAAUUUAGUCUGCUGUCAG